UCGCUGGAUUUCUAUCUUCUUC
This 22-nucleotide non-coding RNA is filed under the name Arabidopsis thaliana (thale cress). The record is from RNAcentral. Lineage: Eukaryota; Viridiplantae; Streptophyta; Magnoliopsida; Brassicales; Brassicaceae.